GUUAUAGGAUCAAGCGACUAAGUGUAUGUGGUGGAUGCCUUGGCGAUCACAGGCGAUGAAGGACCCGGUAGCCUGGGAAAAGCCGUGGGGAGCUGGCAAGCAAGCUUUGAUCCACGGAUGUCCGAAUGAGGAAACUCACUUCCUUUAAGGAAGUAUCAAUGAGUGAAUACAUAGCUCAUUGAGGCGAACGCAGUGAACUGAAACAUCUAAGUAACUGCAGGAACAGAAAUCAACCGAGAUUCUGAAAGUAGCGGCGAGCGAAAUUGGAAGAGCCUGCAAGCGUUAGCGGAUUCGAUACCGGAACGGUCUGGAAAGGCCGGCUACAGAGGGUGACAGCCCCGUACGGGAAAUUGGAUCUGUGGGACUAAGCUUGCGACAAGUAGGGCGGGACACGAGAAAUCCUGUCUGAAGAUGGGGGGACCAUCCUCCAAGGCUAAAUACUCGUGAUCGACCGAUAGUGAACCAGUACUGUGAAGGAAAGGUAAAAAGAACCCCGGGAGGGGAGUGAAAUAGAUCCUGAAACCGCAUACAUACAAACAGUAGGAGCCCGCAAGGGUGACUGCGUACCUUUUGCAUAAUGGGUCAGCGACUUACGUUCAAUGGCAAGCUUAACCGAAUAGGGGAGGCGCAGCGAAAGCGAGUCCGAACAGGGCGAAAUUCAGUCGUUGGGCGUAGACCCGAAACCAGAUGAUCUAUCCAUGGUCAGGCUGAAGGUGUGGUAACACACACUGGAGGGCCGAACCGACUAGUGUUGCAAAAUUAGCGGAUGAACUGUGGAUAGGGGUGAAAGGCUAAACAAAUCUGGAGAUAGCUGGUUCUCCCCGAAAACUAUUGAGGUAGUGCCUCGUGUAGGGCUCCAGGGGGUAGAGCACUGUUAUGGCUAGGGGGACAUGGCGUCUUACCAAACCAUGGCAAACUCCGAAUACUUGGAAGUCAGAGCACGGGAGACAGAGCACCGGGUGCUAACGUCCGGACUCAAAAGGGAAACAACCCAGACCGCCGGCUAAGGUCCCUAAUAUUGACUAAGUGGAAAACGAAGUGGGAAGGCUAAGACAGUCAGGAAGUUGGCUUAGAAGCAGCCAUCCUUCAAAGAAAGCGUAAUAGCUCACUGAUCGAGUCUUCCUGCGCGGAAGAUGUAACGGGGCUAAGUCAAUAACCGAAGCCGCGGAUUCGACCGCAAGGUUGAGUGGUAGGGGAGCGUUCCGUAAGCCUGAGAAGGCGGACCCGCGAGGGCUGCUGGAGGUAUCGGAAGUGCGAAUGCUGACAUGAGUAACGUUAAAGCGGGUGAAAAGCCCGCUCGCCGCAAGCCCAAGGUUUCCUGCUCUACGUUCAUCGGAGCAGGGUGAGUCGGCCCCUAAGGCGAGGCUGAGAAGCAUAGCUGAUGGGAACCAGGUUAAUAGUCCUGGACCGAUUGCAGGUGCGAAGGAGGGACGGAGUGCUGAAGGUCAUCCGGGUGUUGGAUAUCCCGGUUUGCGAGCGUAGGAAGCCGGCAGGCAAAUCCGCCGGCGAAUUUCCGAGGCGAAGCAUCGAGGCUGGUUUCAGCUGAAGUGACUGAAUGGACUUCCAGGAAAAGCUUCUAAGCAUCAGCCUGCAAUUGACCGUACCGCAAACCGACACUGGUGGGCGAGCUGAAUAUGCUCAGGCGCUUGAGAGAACUCAGGAGAAGGAACUCGGCAAAUUGACACCGUAACUUCGGGAUAAGGUGUGCCUUUGUAGUGUGAAGGGAGAAACACCCGGAGCAUGAAGAGGUCUCAGAGAAUUGGUGGCUGCAACUGUUUACUAAAAACACAGCACUCUGCAAAGACGAAAGUCGACGUAUAGGGUGUGAUGCCUGCCCGGUGCUGGAAGAUUAAUUGAUGGGCUGCAAGGUCCUGAUCGAAGUCCCAGUAAACGGCGGCCGUAACUAUAACGGUCCUAAGGUAGCGAAAUUCCUUGUCGGGCAAGUUCCGACCUGCACGAAUGGCAUAAUGAUGGCCACACUGUCUCCUCCUGAGACUCAGUGAAGUUGAAGUGUUUGUGAUGAUGCAAUCUCCCCGCGGCUAGACGGAAAGACCCCAUGAACCUUUACUGCAGCUUUGCAUUGGACUUUGAACCGAUCUGUGUAGGAUAGGUGGGAGGCAGUGAAGUUAGGACGCCAGUCUUAACGGAGCCAUCCUUGAAAUACCACCCUGAUUUGUUUGAGGUUCUAACCUGGGAGCGUGAUCCGCUUCGGGGACCGUGCAUGGUAGGCAGUUUGACUGGGGCGGUCUCCUCCUAAAGGGUAACGGAGGAGUGCGAAGGUACGCUAGGCACGGUCGGAAAUCGUGCUGAUAGUGCAAUGGCAAAAGCGUGCUUGACUGCGAGUCCGACAAGACGAGCAGAUACGAAAGUAGGUCAUAGUGAUCCGGUGGCUCUGCAUGGAAGGGCCAUCGCUCAACGGAUAAAAGGUACUCUGGGGAUAACAGGCUGAUACCGCCCAAGAGUUCAUAUCGACGGCGGUGUUUGGCACCUCGAUGUCGGCUCAUCUCAUCCUGGGGCUGUAGCCGGUCCCAAGGGUAUGGCUGUUCGCCAUUUAAAGAGGUACGUGAGCUGGGUUUAAAACGUCGUGAGACAGUUUUGUCCCUAUCUGCCGUGGGCGCUGGAAGAUUGACGGGGGCUGUUCCUAGUACGAGAGGACCGGAAUGGACUCACCUCUGGUGUACCGGUUGUCACGCCAGUGGCACCGCCGGGUAGCUAUGUGGGGAAAGGAUAACCGCUGAAAGCAUCUAAGCGGGAAACCUGCCUGAAGAUAAGUCUUCCUGGAGGCUUUGACCUCCCUGAAGAGUCGUUCGAGACCAGGACGUUGAUAGGUCGGGUGUGCAAGCGCUGUGAGGCGUUGAGCUGACCGAUACUAAUUGCUCGUGAAGCUUGAUCCUAUAACCGUGAAGCUUUUCA
RNAcentral lists this ribosomal RNA (2913 nucleotides) under Sutterella faecalis. RNAcentral's name for it is "23S ribosomal RNA". It matches the Rfam family "Bacterial large subunit ribosomal RNA". Lineage: Bacteria; Pseudomonadati; Pseudomonadota; Betaproteobacteria; Burkholderiales; Sutterellaceae. The record is from RNAcentral.